AAAACAUUUUUUGAGACUUUCAUAAUUUCAUUGUUUUUCCUUUCAGAUUUGCAUUCGGAUGGAGUGUGAUUUGUUCUUUAGUCUGACGCCGUCUGACCAACAUCGCCAGGAAGCCGUCGAGCCUCUUUUCAUUCCCGGGUGUGUUUGAUUUGCCUUUUUGCCUCCCAGGAGGGCGGGGUUUAGCAGUUAGUCCCGUAGCUCCGCCGUGUCACCUAGUUGUGUGUGUGUGCGCGUCCUCUUUUAUCUCGGCUCGUCUCUGGAAUAAGCCCAGUUCUGUAGUUCGUAAAUAUUUUGGAACCAAAACAAGCGUAGAAAGACGAGGUCGCUCACUUCCACGUCCCGCUGAGGAGGCCCUCAGCAGGGCCCUCAGGUGAGGCCCUCAGCAGGGCCCUCAGGUGAGGCCCUCACCUGAGCAAUGCAGAUGUUACUGCGCGCUGACGUUCGAUAUGUUUGAAAAGCAGAACUACAAGAAAUGAUCACAGAAAAUCAACCUGUGACACAUCGACGAAUGUAAUAAGUAGUAUUGAUAUUUGGUUUAAAGCAUAAACAUUGGUUUUGAUAAAUAAAUCUUUUAUUUAAGGAAUUGUGACCCAGACUUGGUGGAAAACUCUGACAUCACGCCUAUUUCUUCAUUUCUUGUUUCUUAUUGGUCAACAAAUACCAUGUCAGAACAUGGCAUGGUAUGAGAUGUCAGAACAUAAUUCUAUUUAAGAACAUGUCUCCAUUAAAGUUUGAGACAAAA
This is a non-coding RNA of Gasterosteus aculeatus aculeatus (three-spined stickleback), 742 nucleotides long. Lineage: Eukaryota; Metazoa; Chordata; Actinopteri; Perciformes; Gasterosteidae. The record is from RefSeq and is a predicted model, not a curated record.